GUUGAAGCUUGGUUCAAAGAACGUAUCAAG
RNAcentral lists this unclassified non-coding RNA (30 nucleotides) under Lactococcus lactis subsp. lactis. RNAcentral describes it as "target RNA from Lactococcus lactis subsp. lactis (PDB 6XN4, chain T)". The record is from RNAcentral. Lineage: Bacteria; Bacillati; Bacillota; Bacilli; Lactobacillales; Streptococcaceae.